This 14962-nucleotide long non-coding RNA is filed under the name Jatropha curcas. RNAcentral describes it as "long non-coding RNA (JCUR_LNC002214)". Lineage: Eukaryota; Viridiplantae; Streptophyta; Magnoliopsida; Malpighiales; Euphorbiaceae. The record is from RNAcentral.
UCCUCAGUCUCAAAUAAAACAAGGGCUUGUUUUUUACCGUUCAUCUCAAAAAGCCUGCUGUUGACAACAGUGCCAUGCUCCUCUAAGAGGCUAACAAUCUCCUCUUCUGUUAUGUCUUGAGGGAGAGUGGGAAGGUGGAUCAUCUUUGUUGGUGAGCAACAGUACUUAUAGUUCUUUGCAGCAUUUCGAUUGAAGCGAUUGAGGAUUGAGUUCACAUAUUCAUGUGUGUCAGCACCUUGAGUUAUAUUUGGAUCCUUUGAAAAGUUCACCUCCAAUCGCUUCCCGAAAAGCAUUGCGCCCUGCUCCACAUUGUAAAACAAGUGUUCAAGGUAAAGCUUCCACACAUAAAGGAACCUCACACUUGAGAUAGAAGGACCAACCAAAGUUUGCAACGCAAUGUAGUCAAAAUGGACAUUGUAAAUACUCUAGUCAAAUGACAUUGAAUGAAAGGACUGACAUUGAACGUGCAAAAGGAUCGUCUAAAAUGAAAGGCUAAAUUACUAAAAAAAAGUUUAAAUUUUACAGUUAAUUUUAAUUAUAUUUGAAAUUCAAUUUUGUUUUUCAUCUAACUAAAUAAGUCUAAAAGUAAGUCUACAUAUAAAACUUACGGUUAGAAAUACGAAAUACAUGCAAAGACUUAGUCUGUUGACUUUCGAGUCAACAUUCCAAUUUUGAUAUCUAUGCAUUUAAUUUCUUAUGAUUAAUUAAUUAUUAUGAAUAAUGUUUUGAGGAUUUAAUUAGAAAUUUGGAAGUGUAGAGAUUAGUGUAAUUGAAUAAGUAUGAAAAGAUAUGUUGAGUUAAAUAUAAUUUAUGGAAACAGUGGCAGAAAUUAAUUAUAGCGUUUGGAUCUAAGGAGAUGUGGCUUAAUCUCAACCACCCAUUGAACAACUUGGUGGCUGAGUUGUUAUGUAAUUACAAAAAUGCCAUAGACACUUUUGCAACUACGCAUUCCCUUUCUCUUCUUUCUUUCUCUCAUUUCCUCUUCUCCUCUCCUCUUAACCGAAUACUCUCUUUCUCCCUUCUCCCAUUUUUGCUUCACUCUCUACUAAGAAAGCACAUAAAUUAAACUUUGGUUUCUUGAAAUUUAACUAUCACACAUGGAGAUUUAAGCUAAUCCUUGAAGAUUCAAGCCACAUUUCUAAGGAAAUCUAAGACUUUGACUUUUAUUAUAUUAUAUUACAUUUUCUUCUAGUUUAACAUAUCUCUUAUUUUGAAAAGAAAAAUGUAUUUGGUUUUUUUGUAAAAAAAAAAAAAAAAAGAGUAAUUCGCUGUCAAUUCGACCCUUCCUUAAAAAUUUUUCAUGUCCAAUGAAUUCCCUUUCUAUAUAAAAUUUUUCAUGUCCAAUGAAUUCCCUUUCUAUAUAAAAUUUUUCAUGUCCAAUGAAUUCCCUUUCUAUAUAAAAUUUUUCCUGUCACUUAUAUUAGUGAAUAAUGGAACGUAAAUUACAAUUCUAUUCUCCAUUCUAUGUAGAUCCUAAGAGUAGUUGAUGUAACUCAAACACGGUAAGACUUUGAAUCUGAUUUUUAUAGCGUGGUCUAGAAGUAAGAAAAUACAUAUAAAUUAGUAACUUUUGCCUCUUUCUAUUAAUGUAUGUCUUGAUUCUUCUGACUAGUCCUUUGGCGCAAAUUUUCUAUACCAAUUACCAAGAGGGUCAUGAAUAGAAUGGGCAAUCACUAAAAAGAAAAAAGAAAAAAAAAACAUAUAUUUUAGCUUUUUUUUUGAGUUAGUUUUUUAGUGUUUUGAUAAGUUAAAAUUUUAUUUCUAUUAACUAUAGCAUCCGUAAUAUAAUCUUUAUAAUAACAUUAGAGGUUGAGAGUUGAGAGAAUUUUUUAUGAAACAUUAAACACCGAAACAUUUAGUUUUUCAUGUUUAACAUUUAGCUUUUAAUUAAAUUUUUUUUUUUUUUUUACAAUCACAUGACUGUUUUUCCUUUAAAUUUAGCUAAUUAAAUAAUUAAUAUUUUUUUUUGUUAUUUAGGCGUGAACUUUUGUAGAUUAUUUUAUUUUAUUUUGAUAUAGGCGUGAGACUGUGGAUUGCUGCUUUUGCUUUAAAAUAAUAGAAGGAAUUGUAAGAGGGAAGGGUGGCUGUUUGUUGGGUUUGGUUUGGGAUUUUUGUUGACCCACACGGAAGGUUUAAGGAGGAAUCGAAUCGAGCAGUCAACACUCAACACGCCUCUACGAAAUACGAGUUGGUCAAAUUCUCGGUUCUCGAUCGAGUAUGGGAAAUGAUGCCAAUGCCAAUUUCAGUGGCCAAUCAAGGCCUAUUUUAAAUUCUCCAUUCAUGCCUUAUUUUUAUUUUCACACUUAUUAAAAAAAUUAUAAUAAAUAUUUUCAAUAUUUUUAUUAAUAUGCCUCUAUAAUUAAAUGAGAAAAUUGUUAAUGAUAAUGUAUACCAAAUUAGAGGUACACUUGUACAAGAAAGUGCAUUAGAGAAUUAAAAAAAUUAAAUUCAUUUUCAAAACAUAAUUUGGAUUAAAUAAAAAAGAAAGUAAGUUCAUCUUUUUCUUUUUUUAACCAUUCGGUGUUUAAAGUUUACCAGUCCGAUUAAUCCGGAUUUAUGGUAGAUAGGUCCACAGAAGUGGCAAAGCAGUCCCUCCCGACUGUUUAAAGACUCCAUACUCAGAGUUUGAAUUCGAAAUUUCUGAUUAAGGGAAAAUAAAUUCUGUCAUCUCAUAUCAUUCCUCAUGAGCAAGUAAGUUCAUCUUUACGAGAUGGAACAGUAUAAUUUUUCCUAUUACAAAAAAACAAUCUCUCUAUCCUUUAAAUUAUGUCCUUUUUUAGAUUUUUUUUAUUAUAUUUUAUCUAUCACUUUGGAAAAUAUAACUUGCAAUAUUAUUAUUUUUUUUAAAUUGAGGUGGUUUAAUUAUUUUUUNNNNNNNNNNNNNNNNNNNNNNNNNNNNNNNNNNNNNNNNNNNNNNNNNNNNNNNNNNNNNNNNNNNNNNNNNNNNNNNNNNNNNNNNNNNNNNNNNNNNNNNNNNNNNNNNNNNNNNNNNNNNNNNNNNNNNNNNNNNNNNNNNNNNNNNNNNNNNNNNNNNNNNNNNNNNNNNNNNNNNNNNNNNNNNNNNNNNNNNNNNNNNNNNNNNNNNNNNNNNNNNNNNNNNNNNNNNNNNNNNNNNNNNNNNNNNNNNNNNNNNNNNNNNNNNNNNNNNNNNAAUUUUAAUCAUAUGUUGAUUAAAGUUCAAUCAAAAUUUUGUAAUAUUCAAAAUGACUUCAACAAUCUCUCGAUUCUAAUACUUAAAAUUUUUAUUCAGACAUCUUGAAUUUGAUUUCUAUACAAAUUGAGAAAAUUCUAUAAGAAUUAUUUUCAUUAUACAGUUCAUUUCAAUUCCCACUUACUAAGAAGAACAAUAUCUCAUCAUAUUAAUAAUUUGAGUAUAAAAUUUAAAAUUAGGAAAAUUUGUUUGAAUUUCCAACAACAAAGGGUCAAAUUGAAUCAAACUAAAGUGCUUUGAUUAAUAUAUUUAGUCGUAUUAUGAAGUAGGUGAGGUCAAAAUUAACAUAUCAUGGGUUGGGGGCCAUAAGUCCAUUAGUGACUACAUAAACAUAUUAUUAUUAUAAUUAUUUUAUAUAUUAUAACUUUUUUUUUUUAAAAGGACCUAAUUACUAGCUAAAUGAUACAUAUAUAUAUAGACCCUCAGAGUCGUUGAUGUAACUCAAACGCGGUAAGACUUUGAAUCUGAUUUUUAUAGCGUGGUCUAGAAGUAAGAAAAUACAUAUAAAUUAGUGACUUUUGUCUCUUUCUAUUAACGUGUGUCUUGACUCUUCCAACUAGUCCUUGGCACUCAUUUUCUAUACUAAUUACAGGAAUAGAAUGGACAAUCACUAAAGAAGAAAAAAAAAAAAAAAAAGCUAUAUGCAUACUCAAGCCCUGCUCAACAAUAGGCUUUGAGCUAGUUUUUAAUAUUUUGUCUAAGUCAAAACUUUAUCUCUAUUAAUUAUAAAUUCGGUAAUAUAGUUUUUAUAAUAGCAUUAGAGGUUGAGAGUUGAGAUAACUUUCUAUGAAACGUUAAACUCUUGCACGUUUAGUUUUUCACGUUUAACAUUUAGCUUUUAAUUAAAUUUUUUUGGACAAUCACACCGGCUAUUUUUUCCUUUAAAUUUAGCUAAUUAAAUAACUUUUUUUUUUUUGUUCUUUAGAUUAAACAACUAUUUUUAGCAAACACUUCUAAUUUAAACUGUCAUAUAAAUUAGCUAGUAGCUAAUAAAACAGUUAACAACUAAUACAAUAGCUAACAGCUACUAAAAUAGCUAAUAUUGUCUAAUAGACCCUAAAUUUUGUAUAAUUUAAUUUACUCAAUGAAAAUUUGUAAAACUAUAUAAAUAAAAAGGUUAAUUUCCAAUAAUUUUGACUUUUUUGUUGUGUCAAUUACUUCUUUUCCAGUUUAUUUCCUUUAAUCGUUUUUAUUCUUUAGUGUUCAAAUAAAAUUUAUAAAUUUACAUGAUUUUUAAAGUUAUUUUUUAUGAGGUUAUUGUUAUUUUAAAUUAUAAUAAAGCUUACUGUUAGCAUUUGAAACUAUUAUUUUGAAAAACAUAUAUAAAUAAUAUGACAUUGUUAUUUUUGUUAGCAUAUUUAUGCUAAAAAUUGUAAAUUAAAUAGUCAAAAAAAUUAAAAUUUAGUAUUUUAGAAAAAAUGGCAUAUUUGGUUUUUCUUCACUCAAAAUCUUAAAAAAAAAAAAAAAAAAAUUGGUGAUAUUGAUGUUAAAUAGUUUGAUUGAGGCUAUAAGACCGUUAAUUUGCUCAUCAAAAACACUUUCUUCUAUACAUUGGCCAAUUGAUAUACAAAAUUAGAAUAUGUAAACUCAAAUAUUUCAAGUGAUAGUUUCAUGAAAGGAGUAAAUAUAUAAUGUACUUUUUUUUCCUUUGGUAUUUUGGAUUCAAAUGAGGUAGAGUUCAUUGCUAUUUUCUCUGCUAUAGAACUGUACUGGUUUUCUGAAUAUAAGUCUUAACCUUUGAUCAUUCAAUCUAACUCCCGAAAUGCUCUUUGUUGGAUUUUAUAAAAAACAAAAACGGUCUUGGCGUUGACAGAAAAGAUUCAACAAAUUUGAUUUCAUAAAGUCUCCAAUGAGUCAAGUGGAGUUCAGAUAUAUUAACAGAGCAUGUAAUCAGUUUGCAAAUUGUUUGUCAAAGAAGGGGGUUGAGGCAACAAAUCAAUACUUGGCUUGGAUCUUAUGAUGAUUGUAAGAGCUUUCAACAAGCGUUUUCGCAAAUUUCUUCAAAGUUUUAUGCUGGUUUACUGUCAUUUCUCACAUCAAGAAAUGCUUGUAUUUCAAGUUUAGAUUUAUUGUAAAUGCAAAUUAUUUAUGUUUGGUUUAUUCUAGUCCAAUAUAGGUGUAAUUCUAUAUGGAACUUUGUUUGGAAUAUUUAUAUGGCUCAUUUAUGGAGUCUAUUGUAUCUUUUCAUUUAAGAGGUCUUGACUAUAUUUUUUUACCUAAUAUUAUGCUAGGAUUGGGUGUAAAAGGGUGCCUAUCAGCUAGGAUUAGUACUUGGAUAUAUUAAGUUUUUUCUGGACAUAUAUAAAUAAAAUAAAAUCAACAUUAAUGAUAAAAAAAAACUUUUUUUUCUUUUAACCAAGAUUUUUUGAAUUUUCUUGGUAAAAAAGUUUUGCAUGACACAAUAUUUCAGUACGUAUUUAAGAAAAAAAUAAAUUAUUUUUCCUUCACAAAUAUUUUUUUCAUAGCAUUUUUUCUUAAUAAGAUGUUAACGGGACAUAUUUUUUCGAAUAAUGGAUAUCCAACUAGGAGCGUUAUCAAAUUAGUGGAUGAUGUAUAUAUAUUAGAAGUCUAUAUUCCUAAAUACUCCAAAGAUCUAUAUAAAUUACAAGUCUAUUUCCUAAUUAGGGUACCUUAUGUGUCUAUAUAUGUAUAUGGCUUCUCAUGAGAAUGAUGUUCAAAAUUUUUUAUAUGUUCUCUCUCUACUUCUCUCCCUACUUUUCCCAUUAUAUUAUAACAUUUACAUGCUUUUCAAAAUUAUAUUUUAUGAGACUAUUGUUAUUUUAAGUCAUAAUAAAGGUUACGUACUGUUUAGCAUUUGAAACUAUUAUUUUGAAAAAAAUACAUAAAUAAUUUAAAAUUGUUAUUUUUAUUAGCAUAUUUACGUUAAAAAUGUUAUGGUAAAAAAUUAAAGGCUUCAUAUAUUAUUUCACUAUGAAUUUUGUGUUUUAUUACAUUUUCACUCCAAUUUAACAUUUAUAUCAAUUUUACAAUGAACUUUGACCUCCUGUUGAAAUAGCACCCUAAAUACAAUUAAGAUUUAAAUUGCAAAUAAAAAUAUAUUACUAUAGAGUUCACUCUUAAAUUUAGGUUUCGAUUAAUUUAAUAUAUUUAUUUAAGUGUGGAAGCUUGGGUUAAUAAUAAGAAAAAUCACUAUUAUCAUUAUUUAAUAUUUUUAAAAUUUUUUAUUUAAUUGCUAAUAAGUAAUAGAUAAAAAUGCAUUUUGUGAUACAUAGACGUCACCUUUUAAAAAAAAUUAGAGUACUUCUUAAACAAUAAACUAAUUAUUAUUAUUGUUUGAUUUUUAAUGUAAUUUUUGAAAUAAUUAUAAAAGCUAAAAAAAAAAGAUACUAUGAAAUUAUUUAAAUCAUAAGCUAUUUAAAAUUAUAAAUAACUUUUUAUCAAAAUAGAAUAUAAAAUAUAAUUAUAAUCAAUUAAAUAGUUAUAAUUAUAGAAUGAAAACAAAUAUGCAAGACAACAAUCAAACUUAAUAAAUUCAUAUGAGUAAAAAAAAUUGAAUUAAGUUAACCUAAAGUCAAGAGUGGAUUCUAUAUUAAUGUACUUUUUAUUUAUAAUUUAAAUUUUAAUUACAAUUUAGAAUGUUAUUGCAACAUAAACAUCAAAAUAAAGUGAAAUUGCAACAUGAUAUAAAAUUCAGGGUUAGAAUCCGUAUUAUGCAAAAAUUAAAAUAAAAGGUCAGAUUUAGUAUUUGAAAAAAGGACAUAUUUAGUUUUUUUUUUCCUUUAAAAAAAUUAGUAAAUUAUUCGUUAUCUCCCUUUAAGAAUUUUUAUUCAAGAGCAAUUUCCUUGUCAUUUUUAAUUCUUCCUGUUAGUUAUACUAGUCUGACUAAGAAUUGUAGAUAUAACUCAAACUCAUAGAUAUCCAUUAUCCACGGAUACCAUUUAUCCACUGAUUUAUAUUGUUUAAAAAUUAAAUUAUAUUGAAUUAAAAAAAUUAAAGUAUUUAUCUAAAUGAUUGAUAAUAUAUAAAAAGUAUGAAUUAAAUUAAUACAUAAAAAAAGUUGGAAGAAUGAUAAAUUAAAAUUUUAAUUUCAAAAUUGUUAUUCUUAUCAUAAUACUUUACUCAAAUGCAAUGAUAGCAAACUAUCUCAAAUGUAAUUAUAACAAAAAUCAAUUAAUAGAAUAACUAAAAAACUCAUGCAACAAAAUCACUAUAUAUAAACUAUGUGUUGUGGUAUAGUUGGCAAAGCAGGUUAGGUAUGUGGGAAGAGCUUUCGGAUCAAAUCUCUGCUAAACACACCUACAAGGAGGGGUGAAGAGCAUUAACUGUGACUAAGCCUCGAAUCGAACUAGGCAGUCUUUGAUAAUGAGGUCAGGAUACCAAUGGUUUACACACAAAAAAAAAUCACUAUACAUAAAAUAUUAUUAUCUGAACACUCCAAAUAACUAUUAUCACUAUGAUUUUUCUCUAUUAUUUGAAAUUGAAGUUUAAAUGAAAUAUUAGAAAUUAAAUUUUAAAUUUAAAAAUUUAAAAUUUUAAAAAUUUGACCAAUUCAAAUUAAUAUAUGAAAACUAGAAUGAAGUUAUAUUACAUUAAAUUAAAAGUAAAAUUAUAAUUUAUAUAGAUAAUUUACUACAAAUAACUCAAUUUGUUAAAAUUUUCAUACUAUAAUUUUGAAAAAAUAAUAAAUUUUUAAAUCUAUUAGGGUUUGACUUUCGUACGAGUUAUGUUCGGUUUUAUAAUAACAAUACCAUUACUCUACCCACAUUCAAAAUAAAAUUUUUAGGCUUUGUCUAUUUUGUCGAUACGCUACUCAAAUCCAGUCAAAAUCUUAAUUUGAAUUUGAUUAGGUUACGGUUAGAUUUAUAUCCACUCGAUGAGGUUGAUUUUGCCAUCCCUACAGACUCAUGGUGUAUGUGUGAAACUCUGAAUAAUUUUUAUAAAACGUGGUCCAGAAUCAAGAAAUUAUAUUUUUCCUUUGAGGAAUAUACACAGCAAGACUUAGAUUUAGAUUUGGAUAUCUAUCCAUUUAUUCCUAUCACUAUAAGUCUAUAAAUAUAGAUUUAGACUCUUGUAGGCCUUCGGUGGUCAUUUUCUAUGUUAUGCCGUUUUGUUUUGUACAUGCAAAAGGAUAAUAAUAGAGGGAUCGUCUAAAAUGAAUGGCUAAAUUACUAAAAAAAAAAUUCAAAUUUUACAGUUAAUUUUAAUUAUAUUUGAAAUUCAACUUUCUUUUUCAUCUAACUAACCAAGUCUAAAAGUAAGUCUAUAUAUAAAAUUUACGGCUGAAAACACGAAAUACAUGGAAAGACUUAGACAGUUGACGUUCGAGUCUACCUUCUAAUUUUGAUAUCUAUGCAUUUAAUUUAGUCCUAAUAUCAUUAUAAGAUCUAUUUAUUUUUGGAAAAUAACAUAUUUUUGAAAAAUAUUUUCUAAGGAAAAUAUUUUCUGUAUUUUCUAAAUGGUUUAUUUUUCAUUGUUUGGAUGCAAUUUGAAAAUUGAUAAAAAAUAUUAAAAUUUGUAUUUCAUAAGACCAUAAAAAUAAAAAUAAAGAUAAUAUAAAUUUGUAUUUUAAAAAUUUUAUUGUUUACUAUGAGAAAAAUGCAAAAAAAAAGUAAAUUAUGAAAAUUGUCCAUGAUCAGUGGUGGUGGCCGAUGGUGUCUGGUGGUGAACGGUGAUUGGUGGUAGCGACUAUCGAUGAUUACCCAAUUAACAAAAUAUGAAUUUAUAAGGUUAUAGUAAGUUUGUCAGAAUCUUUUUAAAACGGGAAGUCAUUUUUCUUAAAAAUGACUUAAUUUUCCUUUGACCAAGAAAAUAUUUUUCGUUGAUUUAUUUUUUUGAAUGCUCCAAAUAACGAAAAAUUAAAAUAAAUAAUUUUUUAGAAGUUAUUUUAUGGAAAUAAAGGGAGCCUAAUUCUACAUAUAUAAUCAUUGUCAUGACUUUGUUAUCAUGACUUUGCUAGGCCUUUCCUGCUCAUUUUCUAUUCCAAAAUUUUCCCUUUUUUUUAUUAAGAUAUAAAUAGGAGAAUUAUUUGAAUUAUUGAAUAUUUUGAUUAAAUAUCAUAAGAAUUUUUUUUGAUAUUUUAACUGAAAUAUAAAUUCAAAUAUUUCCUUAUUUUAUAUAAAUAUCUAGUCGAUAAACUUUUGAGGACAUAUGCUCCGUUAAAACAAUCGCAAUUUUGGUUUUUUUUUUUUUUUAAUUACUAGUUCUUUCACACGUGUGUUGCACGUGGUACUUCUAGUUGUAUGUACUCAUUAUUUAAUUUAUUGUGCUCAUAAUCUUAAUUUCCUAUAAAAAAUAAUUAAACACAAUAAUCAGUAAAAUAUAAAUAAAAUUAUAACAAUAAUUGAUAAUUAAAUAAAAUAUUUACUAUUAAUUUUCUUUCAUAUUCUUGUUUUUCUACGACAUUUGAAUAAAAAUAUUUAUUCAUAUUCAAAAAUAAAAAAUAAUUGAUAUCAAUUUACACGGCCGGGCUGUCUACCUUGUUAAGUUAGCCAUUUUUUGCUAUUUUGUUCUACUUUUCAGCCCCAAUAUUUUGUAGCUAGAAUGUUAGAACAUAAAAACAUAAUAAUAAUAAUGAAUUCAAAUCGAGCCUCUUCAAUCAUUUUCUUUUACACGCCACUAUAAGUAGACUCUUCAUCAAAACCCAAGCCAAUUCAAUGCAAAAAUAUAGAAUUAAAUAUUACUUAAAAAACUUCUUGUACAAUAAAAUAACUAACUCCUUAAACAAUGUUAAUUAUAAUGUAAUUAUUAUAAAAUUUAUAAUCGUAAUAUAAUAAUUUUUAAAAUCAAUAAAAUUGGAAAUGAAAUUGAUUUUUCUAUUUUUAUUAGAAGUAAAAAUUUAUAUGUUGCUCUAUUAUAUAUUACACGAGUUAUAGUGGGUUUGAUUUGAUAGUUUGCUGUCUCAAAGGCAUUCUAAUUUACUUUAAUUAAUUAUUUAUUUAUUAAUAGUCCUUUACUUUUUUUAUCUAUAAAUAAAGAGCAGUCAUAUUUUACAAAACAUACUAAAUUGUAAUCAUGGUGAUAAUGCAUCUUCAACCUUUCUCUGUGUUUGUUGCUCUUCUUCUCUUUCUAAUGCACUUCCUAAUAGCUUCUGCAGUCCGAAAUGAUUCUGUUCUGUGCAAAGAGAGGGAGAGAGAAGCACUCCUUAGCAUAAAACGUGACCUUAUAGACCACUAUGGUCGUCUCUCUUCUUGGGGAAGUGAAGAAGACAAAAGAGAUUGUUGCAAAUGGGAUUACAUCACUUGCAGCCCCCGAACAGGUCAUGUUACACAGCUUGAUUUUACUGGCGUGGGUUUGAGAGGUAAGAUGAGUCAUUCCUUGCUUGAUCUUAGACAUCUGACUGACUUGGGUUUAUUUGAUAAUGAUUUUGGUGGCACUCAGUUUCCAAUUGAUAAAAAUGGCUCUCUCGCCAAGUUGAGAUACUUACAUCUCUCGUGUGCUAAUUUUGGUGGAACCAUCUCUUCUGUGCUUAGGAAUCUGUCUAGCUUGCAAUUUCUUGCUCUGAGUUAUAAUCAUUUUGUUGAUAUUGGAAACAGCGAUUGGGUUUCUGGUCUUUCCUCUUUAACUUAUCUUGAUCUAACUAGAAUUCCACUGGUUAACCCCAACCAUUGGUUGCAGAUAGUUAACAAUUAUAAGCUCCUUCACCUUCAAACAUUACGGCUACAGUAUUGCUUUUCAGGAGAUGAGAUUAAUACUCUGCCACUUUCCCCUAUCAAUUCUUCUUCCGCUCUUACAGACAUCUCUCUCUUUGACAACAACUUUGUGAUUCCUUCAAUAUACCCAUGGUUGUCUAACAUCUCCCAGAAUAUCCAAUUUCUUGAUCUUUCUUCUAACAUUUUAUAUGGUUCAGCUCUUGCUGAUUUUGAUAAAAUUAUUUCUCUUCCAUAUAUUAAUCUCUCUAAUACUACAAUUGGGGGCUAUAUUCCAAAAUCCUUUGGGAACAUGUCUCAAUUGCAAUAUCUAUACCUAUCAAGUAACAAGUUCAACAUGAAACUUUUUGACUUGAUCCAAAAUCUAUCCGGAUUUACUGAGAGAUCUUUAGAGGAAUUAUCUUUGGACCACAAUCAAAUAGGAGGUUCAUUGCCUGAUGAAAUUGCAAGAUUUUCAUCUUUAAGAAAUUUAUUUCUCGGAAACAAUCAUUUGAAUGGGACCAUAAGUAAAAGCAUUGGAUGUCUGUCUCAACUCGAAAAAUUUAGCAUCAACUCGAAUUCAUUGAGUGGUGUUAUCUCCGAACAUCAUUUCUCAAAUAUGUCAGAAUUAUCUAUAUUGGAUUUAUCAGGUAAUUCUCUAAUUUUGAAUAUAAGUGUCAACUGGGUUCCCCCUUCCAGCUUAAGAUGUAUCUUUCUUGCAUCUUGCAAGAUUGGGCCUCAUUUCCCAAAAUGGCUUCAUAGUCUAAAAAAUUAUGACGUGCUUGAUAUUUCAGAUGCUGGAAUUUCUGAUUUUGUUCCUAACUGGUUUUGGAGUUUGUCUUCAAUUUAUUCAUAUGUGAAUAUCUCCUAUAAUAAUUUGAGUGGAAUAGUGCCAAAUAUUUUUGUGGGGACUAAAUAUUUCUCCAUUGAUGUGAGUUACAAUUGUUUCUAUGGUCCAUUACCUUUUUUUUCAAAAUCUAAACUACUUGUCCACGUUGACCUUUCUAAUAAUCUAUUUUCUGGAAGAAUUCCUCAUGAUUUUAUGAAUAUGUAAAAUUUAGUGUUCUUGAAUUUGGCCAACAAUGUUUUGUCUAGCAAAAUUCAUUCUUCUAUUGGAUUCAUGUCCAAACUCCAAACACUAAAUUUAAAAAAUAAUAAAUUAUCAGGAGAGUUGCCUUUUUCUUUAAGGAAUUGCACUAAGUUGAAUUUCCUUGAGCUAAGUGGUAACAAAUUGUCUGGUAACGUACCUAUUUGGUUUGGAAAAAGCUUAUCAUCUUUGCAAUAUCUUAGCCUACGAUCCAACCAAUUCUCUGGAAGCCUGCCCUUACAGUUGUGCCAAUUGACAAAUGUUCAGAUAUUAGAUCUCUCUAUAAACAAUAUCAAUGGAACCAUACCACAUUGCUUGAACAAUUUAAGAGCCAUGAUUGAUGAGAAUUCUAAUGAGACCAUUCUCCAUGACUAUGGCCCUCUUCUACAGCAUAGCCUUUUAAGAUUUCAUGACGAUGACGAGGCGUUGGUUCUUUGGAAGGGCUCAGAGUAUAUAUUAGAUAAAAAUCUUGGACGAUUUAGGAUAAUUGAUCUUUCAAGUAACAAAAUAGAAGGAGAGAUUCCAAGAGAAAUAGCAAUCCUCUCAAGUCUUAGGCAAUUGAACUUGUCCAAUAACAAGUUGAGUGGUGCAAUCCCUGAAGAAAUUGAUGGCUUGAAGCAGUUAGAGUCACUUGAUCUGUCUCAAAAUCAACUAUCAGGCAGACUUCCUGCAAGCAUGUCUAUUUAAAUUUUUUGAAUACCUUGAAUUUGUCACAUAAUAAUUUUUUUGGAAAAAUUCCAUCGGGUACUCAACUCCAGACCUUUAAUGCUUCCACAUAUAGCAAUAAUCUUGCACUCUGUGGGUCUCCACUUCCACAAAAAUGUCCAGAAGACAAUAUUCAAGAUUCUCCAUCCAGUCAUGAUGAUCAUGAUAAUCAAGAAGAUGAAUUCAACAAAUCGCUUUACCUUGGUAUUGGAGUUGGAUUCGCUGUAGGCUUUUGGGGUGUUUCUGGCGUUUUACUAUUAAAGCGUUCUUAUAGAUAUGCCUUUUUUAAGUUCGUGGAUUAAUUGAAAGAUUGGAUUUAUGUAAGAACGGUAAUAUACAUGAAGAAAUUGCAGCAAAUCAAGGUAAGAUUUAGCCUUACUCUUCCUGUUUAAAUUUAAGUAGUUAGGCUUUAAUAGCUAUGCUUCAUACUAUAUUUUUUAAAAUGAUAAAUAAUUUUAGAAUUGUACUAACUUCCUUUUCUUCUCUUUGGUUUUUGCUCAUCCGCUCUGUUUCUUCACACUAGAAUCUGGCGGCACUGAUGCAACAUUAAUUGGGGCUGGUUGCUGGAUAUCAAUAGAUAUAUAAUUUUAUUUCUAACGUAACAGUGCAAAUGAGUUUAAUUACUGUUUGUACCAUUUGCUACAGUCUGAUAAUGAAAAUUCCUUAUUAGAUACUUUACAUCAUUUAUUUAUUAUUUAAUAAUAAUAUUAUUAUUAUUAUGUUAAUAUUUUUAUAAUUCGUUGGGAGGCCAAUGGGUCGAAAUGAUACUAUGGGCUACACAAUAACACUCCCUUCUAACUCAUAAAAUCAAUGAAAACUAAUGUAAUCAAAUUAAUUAAAACUAUUGUGAUCAAGAGAAUUCGAACCGAAUACCUAUUUUUUACAUAAGUUACAUAAGUGAGAAAAAUUAUUCAUUAUGUUAAUUGUAAUAUUGUAUUAAUUAUAUAGUAAAUAUAAUUAAUAAAAUCAAUUUCUAAUUAGAGAAUAUAAAAUUUUUUAAAUUCAAAAUUCCUUUAUUUUUAUCACAUUAGAUUUAACUUUCUAUUUAAUCAAAGAAGAUAUAUGAGACCUUAUAAUACAACUUAUCCUUGAUAAAAACAUCACAUUACAUAGAAUUCAUAACAUUUUCACUAACUUUUAAAUAUUUUAAAUAUUAAGAUAAUAUUUUAUAAAAAAUUAAUUCAUAUAAAUCAACAUUUUAUAAAAUAUUACACCACUAAAUUAACAACUAAUCUUAUCAUAAUAUGAGUUCUUAUCAAACAACUAAUCUUAUCAAACACACCCUAAUACUCAUAAUAAAAGUUCUUUUGAAAUUGUUUUAUCACACAAUGGUAUCACUAGAUUUCUAGGAACUUAAUUCAAUAGUAAAAACAAUAAAAAAUCCUCGAUUUAGUAUUUUUUUUUUUUUUCCCACUAAAAUCAUACCAGUAUAAUGUUUGCAAGAGGCAGUAAACCACUGAAUUAACUUCAACACUAGAGGGAAGGGCGGGGAAGAGAGGGAGAGAGAGAGAGGCAGUGGAAGAAGCAGAAACGAAGUGAACAGAGGGAGAGAAAAAAGAAAAAAGUAGCUCUUUGAGGAAGAGAACAAUUUGGGUUAUGGAUUAAAAAUAUAACAGAAAGGUCCAAUUAGCCAGAAUUACAGGCAAAUAUACAACAAUGAUACAAUGGAGAACGAUCUCUCUCAACACAACUAGAAAAGGAAUUCAAUUAAAUUAUACAUUCCCUCCCCCUUUCCUAAUCUUCAAAACUGAGCAUAUCUGCAAACAAGGAAGAUCUACUUAAGAGUCCUCAAAUUCAACAAACCUAAUAAAUAAUUGGUACCAAUAUUAGCAGAAUGAGAAGAACGAUAAAUGAAAAAGAAAAAACAAAAAAAAAUAGCAAUCCAUCAGUAUCAAAGCAUUGAAAUGUUACAGGAGAAGAGAAGCAUCGCAAAAGAGCAUCACCAACAAAUCUACUGAGUACCAAAUCCUUAAAAAUGUAUUACCAUUUGUCAACCCUUUCCCUUAUUAUAUUUAGGAGGUUUCUCUAAUUGAUUGUAGCUGAGAGAAGGAAAUCCGGAUUAUUGACCCGGCAAGCGAGGUGGCAUGCUUACAAGCAAGUGCUUCAGUGGCCUGCUCCUCAGUCUCAAAUAAAACAAGGGCUUGUUUUUUACCGUUCAUCUCAAAAAGCCUGCUGUUGACAACAGUGCCAUGCUCCUCUAAGAGGCUAACAAUCUCCUCUUCUGUUAUGUCUUGAGGGAGAGUGGAAAGGUGGAUCAUCUUUGUUGGUGAGCAGCAGUACUUAUAGUUCUUUGCAGCAUUUCGAUUGAAGCGAUUGAGAUUAGAGUUCACAUAUUCAUGUGUGUCAGCACCUUGAGUUAUAUUUGGAUACUUU